AUUGAACGCUGGCGGCAUGCCUUACACAUGCAAGUCGAACGGUAACAGGUUAAGCUGUCGCGUGUCGAACGGGCGAGUGAUGUAUCGGUACGUGCUAAGUCGUGGGGGAUAACUGCUCGGAAGAGCAGCUAAUACCGCAUACGACCUGAGGGUGUAAGCGGGGGAUCGCAAGACCUCGCGCCAUUGGAGCUGCCGAUAUCAGAUUAGGUAGUUGGUGAGGUACAGGCUCACUAAGUCGACGAUCUGUAGCUGGUCUGAGAGGACGACCAGCCACACUGGGACUGAGACACGGCCCAGACUCCUACGGGAGGCAGCAGUGGGGAAUUUUGGACAAUGGGCGCAAGCCUGAUCCAGCCAUGCCGCGUGCGUGAAGAAGGCCUUCGGGUUGUAAACCGCUUUUGUCAGGGAAGAAAAGGUUCUGGCUAAUACCUGGGAGUCAUGACGGUACCUGAAGAAUAAGCACCGGCUAACUACGUG
Molecule: ribosomal RNA, 477 nt
Filed under: uncultured bacterium
Lineage: Bacteria
Description: partial 16S ribosomal RNA
Rfam family: Bacterial small subunit ribosomal RNA
Source: RNAcentral